RNAcentral lists this ribosomal RNA (212 nucleotides) under Staphylococcus aureus. RNAcentral's name for it is "partial 16S ribosomal RNA". It matches the Rfam family "Bacterial small subunit ribosomal RNA", at positions 1 to 206 of the family's 1533-position model. The record is from RNAcentral. Lineage: Bacteria; Bacillati; Bacillota; Bacilli; Caryophanales; Staphylococcaceae.
UUUUAUGGAGAGUUUGAUCCUGGCUCAGGAUGAACGCUGGCGGCGUGCCUAAUACAUGCAAGUCGAGCGAACGGACGAGAAGCUUGCUUCUCUGAUGUUAGCGGCGGACGGGUGAGUAACACGUGGAUAACCUACCUAUAAGACUGGGAUAACUUCGGGAAACCGGAGCUAAUACCGGAUAAUAUUUUGAACCGCAUGGUUCAAAAGUGAAA